Homo sapiens (human) is the source of this 173-nucleotide non-coding RNA. It matches the Rfam family "Metazoan signal recognition particle RNA". From Rfam's summary of the family: The signal recognition particle (SRP) is a universally conserved ribonucleoprotein. It is involved in the co-translational targeting of proteins to membranes. The eukaryotic SRP consists of a 300-nucleotide 7S RNA and six proteins: SRPs 72, 68, 54, 19, 14, and 9. The record is from Rfam. NCBI's taxonomy places the organism in Eukaryota, Metazoa, Chordata, Mammalia, Primates, Hominidae.
GCUGGGCGUGGUGGUGCAUGCCUGUAAUUCCAGCUCCUUGGGAGGCUGAGACAUGAGAAUUGUUUGAACCCAGGAGGCAGAGGUUGCAGUGAGCAACCUAGAUCAUGCCACAUGCCAACCUAGAUCAUGCUACUGCACUCCAGCCUGGGUGACAGAGCAAGACCUUGUCUCAA